This 761-nucleotide long non-coding RNA is filed under the name Marmota monax (woodchuck). Lineage: Eukaryota; Metazoa; Chordata; Mammalia; Rodentia; Sciuridae. The record is from RNAcentral.
CGUGACCUGGAUGCCUGUCCUGGGAGCUCCUGGGGCAGAAACAGGAGAGAAACGACAGGAGCACGCCCUCAACUGAGAGGCAGGAGGGAGUGGCGUGGACUGUGGUGUCCCCUGGUCACCGUCACCUUCUAAGACUGCUGGUCCUCGUGCCGUGGGAACUCUGGAGCCAGAGCGCCUGCCUUCAGAAUCCCAGCAGCACCGCUCAAUAGCGGGGUCACUCGAACUACCCGUGCCUCGGUUUCCCUGCCUGUAAAGUGGGGUGAUAAUAGUGUCUACCUUGUACACUCAGACGGGGGCACAGGGAGCCAAUGGACGAGAGGUGCUGAGUCCAGGCGGUGGGUGCUGUCAGGUCCCUCUCCCUGGCUGAGUUUGCAGGUGCCCUCCGCCGCUCUCUGACCCCGUGGCUUCCAGGGCCCUCUGUGGAGGGGGAGUCACUGCGCCCCGCGGCCCUCCCUCCUGGUGUUCUCACCCUUGCUCGAGCCUCGCCCCUGGAGGGUGGGCCGGGCUUGUGACAUGCCUUCCCCGGGACAGGUGCCAGAUGCACGUGGCCACGCGAACGGCCUCUGGAGAGAGUCACACGGCGAGGACGGAGGGGCUCCCGCCACAGCCAGUGGGGAACGGAGCCACCGAAUGGCGCCAUCCGUCAUGUGAGCCAGGAAACGGGUCCUUCCCCAGGGGUCCCCCUAACGGGCAGCCCCCGUAGACACCUUGGUUUUAGCCCCCAGGAGACCCCGACGAGCCGUGCCCAGAGCCGCCAGCAC